Molecule: unclassified non-coding RNA, 264 nt
Filed under: Phyllospongia foliascens
Lineage: Eukaryota; Metazoa; Porifera; Demospongiae; Dictyoceratida; Thorectidae
Description: Carteriospongia foliascens sequence contains 5.8S rRNA gene, ITS2, 28S rRNA gene
Source: RNAcentral
GAGCAGGUCUGUCCGAGCGUCCGCCAACCAAAAAACGUUGUCGUUUUCGGACGACAAGAGUGAAGAGCUGCAACGCCGACCCCCCACGGGGGUGGGCUGCACUCCUUGAAGAGACGUGCCCGUGGACCGCGAGACGCGGCGGUCCGAUGAGACGUCGUCGCGACAUCGUGAAAAGUUGCGUCGUGGCAUCUCGUCGGAACGCGGUGAGGUCCGUGCGGCGAAACAUCAGGAAGCAUACGACCAUCUGGACCUCGGAUCAGGCCA